Molecule: long non-coding RNA, 2667 nt
Organism: Pongo abelii (Sumatran orangutan)
Lineage: Eukaryota; Metazoa; Chordata; Mammalia; Primates; Hominidae
Source: Ensembl
GCUUCCCUCAAAUAAAUUACUUAAUCUCUCUUCAAUUCAGUUUUGCAUCUGUAAAUAUAAAUAACUACAAUUUCACAGUAUUUCCAUUUAAAAAGUUCUAGUGCAACAUCAGAAAGAAGAACUUAGUAGGUGUUCAAAAAAAAAUAUAUAAGUUCUGCUUUGUUAGCCAGCAAAUAGUUGCCUGUUUCUAGCCCUCAAAUUAGCCCUCACUUCUUUUCUCCUAAAUCCCUAUAUUGCAUUUAUUUAACUUAAAGUGCUGGAUGUGGCACUAUGAGAAAGAAAAAGAUAUUUGGUAAUCUUGUUAAAAUCAUUAGACAUCCCAGGCUAUCUGGAAUCACCUUGGGCUCACAGUUAGACAUCAGCUAUGGCUUGUUUUAUUUAUAAAUUCAUCCACCGAUGCAUGAUAAUGGAAUUCACAAGACAGCAAUUUACCAAAAAAAGAAACUUAUUGAUUUAUAAUGUGAGAUAUUAAUUUAGCCACAAAUAUUUAUUGAGCAUCUCCUACAUACCAGGGAAUGGACUAUAUAUGGCAGGAAAACAGAUACCAAUCAUUUAUAUCAGGCGUUUUUUUCUAAUAGAAGGAUAUUCUCAGGAGACAAUGCAUAGCAGCAUGCCUUGCACGUAACAGGCAUUUAACAACUAUUAGUUGAAUAAAAUUAGAGACUAGAAUGACACAUAAAGAGGCAAGAAAGAGCAAAGAUAAGCCUUUCUGAGAAUUUCUAUCAUGUUUUGCUCAAUAGCUUGUCUUUAUCCACUGCUUGUAUUUUUCCAUGUAGCUAAUCCUCAUUGGUCGUUAGAAUUGAGACACCCUUUCCUUGAAAUCAGGAGCUAUAGGAGGCCAUUCUUCCUACUAGGCAUUUUCUUUCUGGGACAGAGUCUCACUCUGUCACCUAGGCUGGAGUGCCUCAUAGCUCACUAUAACCUUGAAUUCCUGGGCUCAAGGAAUCCUCUUGCCAAAGACGUGGGAUUACAGGCACGAGCCACCAUGCCAGCCUAUUUGGCAUUUCUACUGUAGACAAAGCAGACUUACAGCAGUAGGUCUACCUGCCUAAUACAAAAAGAAAAAAAGAAUUUUAACAAACGAGGGAAUCAGAUCCAGAAAGUGAUUCUUAUAACUUAGAUUACUUAGAGGAGUAGAUCUAUAAUCUGCUCUAGAUCCACUGCAUACAGGGGCCCUUCUUAUCAUAUUCCAUAAUUAGCACUUUUCUCAGCCCAGCUUUUGAUGAUAGCUGAACAGACUAACAGUUUGUCUAACAAAGGCUAGAGAAGGGGAUAGCAAACAAUGGCCCACAGGCUGAAUCCUGCCUGCUGCUCAUUUUUGCAAAGUUUUAUUAGAAUACGGUCAUUUCCACUCAUCUUCACACUGUCAACGGCUGCUUUUGCGCUACAGCAGCAGAGCUGGGUGGUUGGGGCAGGGUUCACAUGGCUAACAAAGACUAAAAUACUUAUCAUCUGACCUUUUACAGCAAGUUUGCUGAUCCUUGGAGUGUACGAGUAUUCUAUAUUGCUGAUUAAGAACAGAACCACAAGUAUUAGAAGUUAGACUAGCAGGUGGUAAAGCUGAUCAUCUAUUAAUAUAAUGGAAAUUGGGGUUCCCAAUCAGGACUCUUGCUUUGAUAGAAGGCCAUCUUAACGAGGAGGGAGACACCUGCAGGCAAAGUCAGAAUUUUCUGCAGGAAAAGUUUUGAGUCCAUUUCCCCUUAUGAACAAGUGCUCAGCUAUGCAUUUCAUCUUUAGUAACCAUGCUUCUAUACCUGGUUCUCCUUGGCAAAGAUUUCUUUCUUCAGUAAGUCUCAAUACUUUCUGGGAAGGUAGGGAGAUAUGGGGGUAAAAGUGUCCCAGGACUUACUGAAGGAAGUGUUUUAUGAUUAUCUGACAGAAUCACUGUAUCAUGGUAGAGAAGGCAAACAGAAUAUAAUCUGAAAAUAGAGGUGAGGGUGAACAAAUGGGCACUAAAACUGAACUCAGCAUCAGGAAGGUAGCAAAACAAGACAUCAGUCAAAGACAUGGAGUGAUUCAGACCUAAGGAAGAUUUAAUGUGGGAUGUUUCUGCGUGUCAGGAGCUGGACACUUAAGCAAGAGGAGAUCUAGGAAUGUUGCUAAAACCAUGGCCUCCAUACUUUAUUGGAAUUAGCACAACUUAUCCUUGUUUCUUUCAUUUUGCAAUCAAAAUCUUUAAAAACAUAUUAUUUAAAAAUACAUUAUUUUAAAAGCUAGAAUGAAAAUUAUGAUAUCAUUAAGGUGGUUUAAAAAAUAUCCACCAGCUGGGCGUGGUGGCUCACGCCUGUAAUCUCAGCACUUUGGGAGUCCGAGGCGGGCAGAUCAUGAGGUCAGGAGAUUGAGACCAUCCUGGCUGACACAGUGAAAUCCCAUCUCUACUAAAAAUACAAAAAAUUAGCCAGACAUGGUGGCGGAUGCCUGUGGUCCCAGCUACUCGGGAGGCUGAGGCAGGAGAAUGGCAUGAACCCGGGAGGUGGAGGUUGCAGUGAGCUGAGAUCGUGCCACUGCACUCCAGCCUGGGCGACAGAACAAGACUCCAUCUAAAAAAAAAAAAAAAAAAAAAAAAAAAAAAACCAUCCACCAAAAUGGGAAGAAGUGAUGAAAAAUUACAGUCCAAGAAGAAGGGGCAUAGCUGCUUAAAUCAAUUGGUAUAUUUGUUAUCUAAUA